UCNGUAGACGAACAACGAGAGAUCAGGACAGUCGAGUGCGCGACCACAGGUAUGGAACUGGCUAUUCUGAUUCCUCCCUCUGGAAGAACAGAGAUGCCAUUAAUUUGGUGUUGCAGGGAAUCAGGACUGUAUACUUUGAAAAAAUUAGAGUGUUUAAAGCAGGCUUUAGCUAGAAUACAUUAGCAUGGAAUAAUGAAAUAGGACGUUUGAUCCUAUUUUGUUGGUUUCUAGGAUUGACGUAAUGAUUAAUAGGGAUAGUUGGGGGCAUUAGUAUUCAAUUGUCAGAGGUGAAAUUCUUGGAUUUAUUGAAGACUAACUACUGCGAAAGCAUUUGCCAAGGAUGUUUUCAUUAAUCAAGAACGAAAGUUAGGGGAUCGAAGACGAUCAGAUACCGUCGUAGUCUUAACCAUAAACUAUGCCGACUAGGGAUCGGAUGAUGUUAAUUUUUUAAUGACUCA
This 458-nucleotide ribosomal RNA is filed under the name uncultured fungus. Its description in RNAcentral is "SSU rRNA". It matches the Rfam family "Eukaryotic small subunit ribosomal RNA", at positions 724 to 1078 of the family's 1831-position model. Lineage: Eukaryota; Fungi. The record is from RNAcentral.